RNAcentral lists this ribosomal RNA (465 nucleotides) under uncultured bacterium. RNAcentral describes it as "partial 16S ribosomal RNA". It matches the Rfam family "Bacterial small subunit ribosomal RNA", at positions 339 to 795 of the family's 1533-position model. The record is from RNAcentral.
CUACGGGAGGCAGCAGUGGGGAAUAUUGGACAAUGGGCGCAAGCCUGAUCCAGCAAUACCGCGUGUGUGAAGAAGGCCUGCGGGUUGUAAAGCACUUUCAAUUGGGAAGAAAAGCUUGGGGCUAAUAUCCUCGAGUCUUGACGUUACCUUUAGAAGAAGCACCGGCUAACUCCGUGCCAGCAGCCGCGGUAAUACGGGAGGGUGCAAGCGUUAAUCGGAAUUACUGGGCGUAAAGCGCGCGUAGGCGGUUUGUUAAGUCAGAUGUGAAAGCCCUGGGCUCAACCUGGGAACUGCAUUUGAUACUGGCAGACUAGAAUCUGGUAGAGGGAAGUGGAAUUCCGGGUGUAGCGGUGAAAUGCGUAGAGAUCCGGAGGAACAUCAGUGGCGAAGGCGACUUCCUGGACCAAGAUUGACGCUGAGGUGCGAAAGCGUGGGUAGCAAACAGGAUUAGAUACCCGGGUAGUC